Molecule: long non-coding RNA, 1084 nt
Filed under: Marmota monax (woodchuck)
Lineage: Eukaryota; Metazoa; Chordata; Mammalia; Rodentia; Sciuridae
Source: RNAcentral
GCGAGGUGAGUCCAGGGACCGCUGAGGAUGCCAGACCAGCUGGAGGGCCACCGUCAGGGCUAAGUGGGGGUCUAUUUGAGUGAGAAUCUGAGGACUUUCUCCAUGACAGUAGUGGAGUUCAAGGUCAUGAGGAGGAUUGGAGGCAGCUGGGGGUUGGGGUCAGUAUCCUUCACAGAUUCAUUCUGUACAACCCCUACUACAUGCCAAGCCUGUUCUAGGUGCUGGGGACACAGUGGAGCUGGGACAUAGACUUGCAGAUAUGUCACUGCACAGCAUGUCAGCUGGGCUGUGUGCUGCAGGGACAGAGCCACAGAAGGGGGUUGCGAGUGCUCUCGGGUGGGACGGGCUCCAGUUGAAACAGUGUGGGGGUGGUGGGGGCUCCAUUUAAGUAGGAAUUGGAACUAGGUGAGGGACAGAGCCACAUGAGUACCCCGGGGGGACUAUUACUGCAGGUAGGGGACAGCAAGGACAAUGGCCCUGCAAUUGGAGCACACCUGUUGUGUGCUUUCCAAUGGCCCCUGGGCUCUGCUGAAAAUAACAGGAGGUAGAGAUUAUGCAGCCCCUUGUAGGACCUGGCAGGGAUGUGGUCUUGGACUCUAUGUGAGAUGGCAGUCACUGGACAAUUUGGGGCAGUUGGAAGGGUGGACCUACAUUUUCAGUGUCACUGUGCUCUGCUGAGAAUACAAUGGCCCCUUGGUACCCACGGGAGAUGGUCUUCAGGACCUCCCACAGGUACCCAUGUCUGCAGACGCUCAGGUCUCUUUUAUAAAUAAUGAAGGAUUUCCAUACGACCUACGCCCGUCCUUCCACAGACUUUCAGUCACCUCUGGGUGACUUAGAAUACCUAAGACAACGUGGAUGCUGCGUAAAUAGUGUACCAGCUGAUACUGCUUAGGGAAUAACUGCCAGAAAGAUCCUGUACCCGUUCAAUAUAGAUGCAAUUCCCCCCCCCCCAAACUUCUGACCCUCACGAGUCCACAGAUGUGGGAUCCAGGGCUGGGAGGGACAACUAAGAGUGGACAAGGACAGAAAGAGCAGAAGCAGUGAAAGGUGGCUGUGACGGUGCGCGCUGGGUUCUGGAGAG